AUAAAUGAAAAAGUACGCGAAGAUCGAAUGGGAACCAUUCCGAUCGAGCAACGUGCAAUUUCAACUGAAGAAGAUUGAAUUAAAACCGGUACGAGAGGCAGAUCCGGAAUAUCUCAUCCGGCCUGAUAAUUACGGGGAUUACGACAUCACGGUGAAACGAUACACGUACAAAAGUCGUACGUAAAAAAGGAGGAUGGCCUCGAAGGAGCACCACGAAGCCAGGGUCUUCGCGUUAACGGUUGAGAACACCGUUCGGUCAGGGAGAAGUCACGAACGCAAAAGGAAGGCGAAGUGAGCUUACGUCAUUUACGUCAUAUACCUGCGUCAUUUGACCGGUGGUGAUUGGUGCAGUGUCAAUUUGUAGAAUAUUGUACAUUUCCGAAGAGAGCCCACCAUCUUUUUGCCUCGAUGGUCGAACAGAACGUUACAAGACGCUGCGAAACGCAGAAGCCAUUGGCCAAACAUUGUCCGAAGAGCCAGUGUCUUUCGAGGACGUUCACGGAUGGCAAAGAGGAAAGACAAGCACAGCGUGUUCCGAAGUGUAAGCAGUUUAAUGAAGGGUGACAAAAGGAAAUUCGCUCCUCAAUCGUAACCGAUUUUUAUUUUCGACACUCCGUUUCCUUGCCAGUCCCUACGAUAGGUGGAGGUGAUUUCUG
Molecule: long non-coding RNA, 656 nt
Organism: Hylaeus volcanicus
Lineage: Eukaryota; Metazoa; Arthropoda; Insecta; Hymenoptera; Colletidae
Exons: 3
Source: RefSeq, a predicted model, not a curated record